AGGAGAGUUGUGCUUGACUUCACAAAUUGCAUCAACAUUAUUUAUCAACCCCGAUAUACAACUUGCUAAGGACAUGCGAGAAUGGGCUCUUUCAAAAGAAAAGAUCAAGACUAAUGGUGCUCCGUCAAGGCUAUUU
This is a long non-coding RNA of Asparagus officinalis (garden asparagus), 136 nucleotides long. RefSeq lists it as uncharacterized. Lineage: Eukaryota; Viridiplantae; Streptophyta; Magnoliopsida; Asparagales; Asparagaceae. The transcript has 2 exons. The record is from RefSeq and is a predicted model, not a curated record.